RNAcentral lists this ribosomal RNA (250 nucleotides) under uncultured bacterium. Its description in RNAcentral is "partial 16S ribosomal RNA". It matches the Rfam family "Bacterial small subunit ribosomal RNA", at positions 524 to 773 of the family's 1533-position model. The record is from RNAcentral.
UACGAAGGGGGCUAGCGUUGCUCGGAAUUACUGGGCGUAAAGCGCACGUAGGCGGACUUUUAAGUCGGAGGUGAAAUCCUGGAGCUCAACUCCAGAACUGCCUUCGAAACUGAAAGCCUUGAGUUCGGGAGAGGUGAGUGGAACUGCGAGUGUAGAGGUGAAAUUCGUAGAUAUUCGCAAGAACACCAGUGGCGAAGGCGGCUCACUGGUCCGGUACUGACGCUGAGGUGCGAAAGCGUGGGGAGCAAAC